AUUGCCGCCAUCUUUUCAAGUCGUGUGUCGUACGCACGAGGAAGUGUUUUGUCCCCGGUCAUUGCAAGUUGAACAAAAUUCGGAACGAGAUAAGAUCUGGCCCAGGGUGUCGGGACAAGCCGCCCAAACUCGUUGGCCUGUGGUCGCCACCUGAAUGGUCGCCAGUCUCUCUGUGCUAGUCUGCUGUCAAUCUGCGGUCAGUUGAGUGGUCUGUGGUCAAGCCAGGAUUUCCGUUUGUGGCUGGGUGAUCCAAAGUACCAUGGAUGCACAAUCUAAAGCAGCCCGCC
Long non-coding RNA from Patiria miniata (bat star), 287 nucleotides. RefSeq lists it as uncharacterized. The record is from RefSeq and is a predicted model, not a curated record. NCBI's taxonomy places the organism in Eukaryota, Metazoa, Echinodermata, Asteroidea, Valvatida, Asterinidae. The transcript has 3 exons.